GAUGAACGCUGACAGAAUGCUUAACACAUGCAAGUCAACUUGAAUUUGGGUUUUUAACUUCGGUUUGGGUGGCGGACGGGUGAGUAACGCGUAAAGAACUUGCCUCACAGCUAGGGACAACAUUUGGAAACGAAUGCUAAUACCUAAUAUUAUGAUAAUAGGGCAUCCUAUAAUUAUGAAAGCUAUAAGCGCUGUGAGAGAGCUUUGCGUCCCAUUAGCUAGUUGGAGAGGUAACGGCUCACCAAGGCGAUGAUGGGUAGCCGGCCUGAGAGGGUGAUCGGCCACAAGGGGACGGAGACACGGCCCUUACUCCUACGGGAGGCAGCAGUGGGGAAUAUUGGACAAUGGACCGAGAGUCUGAUCCAGCAAUUCUGUGUGCACGAUGAAGUUUUUCGGAAUGUAAAGUGCUUUCAGUUGGGAAGAAACAAAUGACGGUACCAACAGAAGAAGUGACGGCUAAAUACGUG
RNAcentral lists this ribosomal RNA (467 nucleotides) under uncultured bacterium. Its description in RNAcentral is "partial 16S ribosomal RNA". It matches the Rfam family "Bacterial small subunit ribosomal RNA", at positions 28 to 507 of the family's 1533-position model. The record is from RNAcentral.